UUAAUAUUGUAUAGUGUAGACAUGGCAGAGAAUAGUGUCACUUGACAUGUGUAACUUCAUAACCUUUUACUACUGUGUGGAAUUACAGACAUUUGAAAAAGAAAGGCCUGAUUGAAGGUCAUCAGGUUACUCUGUGCUAGGUAUCCACCUAGCCUUUAGUGUCUCUCAUUGGGAAUUAUGAACUUUGUUUACCCCCAUAUUUAGGCAAAGUCAGUCAUUUGGAUUUUGGAGGACUACUUGAGAGGUAAGGACUUGAGAUGUCAGAUGAAAGAGAAUCUGAUUAAUCAGUAACUUUGUAGUUUUUGUCAGUGGAUUAAAAAAAGCAAAAUUUAUCUUUGACUUUAAUGGAUAAUCUGCCUCAGAAAAUUAACAGUUCAGUGUAGUUUUUAUUUUUACUUCUGUUUUUUAUCUGCUAACAGAGUUUCAUUUGUAGUUGUGGAAUGUCUUCCACUUUUAUUUCUUGAAAUAAACAUUGUAUUUUCCUAGGCCUAAUUCCCAUGGUUCUUUUUUUUGUUUGUUUUCCCUAUAUAAUUGCAAAAUCAUAAAAACAUCACUUGGACUAUGAAUCCAGUUGUAAAUUCAUUAAGGCUAUGAAACUUGCAAGAUAUUUUGAAGUCAGUGUAACUUAAUCAUAGUUUUUUAAGCAAACCAACAUUUUGGUGAAUGAAAUAUAAGAAAGUUAUUUAAAAGCUAAAUGAUUAAUUUUGAUCUUGGAAGCAAUAUAUUUAGUUCUUUAGGCAGCUUUUCACAUGUGAUAAUAAGAAAUCAUUGUGUCCUCAGGAAUGUACCCUGUAGAUCAGUCUGAAUAUAAUAACCUGAAGAGUGCUAUCGAAAAACUGACUUUAAAUGAUUCCAGUGUGACAGUUCAUCGGGAUAGUAGCCUUGCCCUAGGUGCUGGCUGGAGAUUGGGAUUCCUUGGACUUUUGCAUAUGGAAGUUUUUAACCAGCGACUAGAGCAAGAAUAUAAUGCUUCAGUUAUUUUGACAACCCCUACUGUUCCAUAUAAAGCUGUUCUUUCAUCAGCAAAAUUGAUAAA
Molecule: long non-coding RNA, 1036 nt
Organism: Hipposideros armiger (great roundleaf bat)
Lineage: Eukaryota; Metazoa; Chordata; Mammalia; Chiroptera; Hipposideridae
Exons: 2
Source: RefSeq, a predicted model, not a curated record